Molecule: ribosomal RNA, 253 nt
Filed under: uncultured bacterium
Lineage: Bacteria
Description: partial 16S ribosomal RNA
Rfam family: Bacterial small subunit ribosomal RNA
Source: RNAcentral
UACGUAGGGCGCAAGCGUUGUCCGGCAUUAUUGGGCGUAAAGAGCUCGUAGGUGGCUUGUCACGUCGGGUGUGAAAGCUUGGGGCUUAACUCCAGGUCUGCAUUCGAUACGGGCUGGCUAGAGGUAGGUAGGGGAGAACGGAAUUCCUGGUGUAGCGGUGAAAUGCGCAGAUAUCAGGAGGAACACCGGUGGCGAAGGCGGUUCUCUGGGCCUUACCUGACGCUGAGGAGCGAAAGCGUGGGGAGCGAACAGG